This 253-nucleotide ribosomal RNA is filed under the name uncultured bacterium. RNAcentral's name for it is "partial 16S ribosomal RNA". It matches the Rfam family "Bacterial small subunit ribosomal RNA", at positions 524 to 776 of the family's 1533-position model. The record is from RNAcentral.
UACGAAGGGUGCAAACGUUGCUCGGAAUUAUUGGGCGUAAAGCGCACGUAGGCGGCUUGGCAAGUCGGAUGUGAAAUCCCUCGGCUCAACCAAGGAAGUGCAUCCGAAACUGCUGAGCUUGAGUACUUAAGAGGAUCGCGGAAUUCCCGGUGUAGAGGUGAAAUUCGUAGAUAUUCGGAAGAACACCAGUGGCGAAGGCGACUGUCUGGCGCAUUUCUGACGCUGAGGUGCGAAAGCGUGGGUAGCAAACAGG